AUUGAACGCUGGCGGAAUGCUUUACACAUGCGAGUCGAACGGCAGCACGGGGGCAGCCCUGGUGGCGAGUGGCGAACGGGUGAGUAAUACAUCGGAACGUGCCCGGUCGUGGGGGAUAACGUAGCGAAAGUUACGCUAAUACCGCAUACGAUCUGAGGAUGAAAGCGGGGGACCUUCGGGCCUCGCGCGAUCGGAGCGGCCGAUGUCAGAUUAGGUAGUUGGUGGGGUAAAGGCCUACCAAGCCGACGAUCUGUAGCUGGUCUGAGAGGACGACCAGCCACACUGGGACUGAGACACGGCCCAGACCCCUACGGGAGGCAGCAGUGGGGAAUUUUGGACAAUGGGCGCAAGCCUGAUCCAGCCAUUCCGCGUGCAGGACGAAGGCCUUCGGGUUGUAAACUGCUUUUGUACGGAACGAAAAGGCUCUGGCUAAUACCUGGGGCUCAUGACGGUACCGUAAGAAUAAGCACCGGCUAACUACGUG
Molecule: ribosomal RNA, 484 nt
Filed under: uncultured bacterium
Lineage: Bacteria
Description: partial 16S ribosomal RNA
Rfam family: Bacterial small subunit ribosomal RNA
Source: RNAcentral